AAUGUCUGGGAAACUGCCUGAUGGAGGGGGAUAACUACUGGAAACGGUAGCUAAUACCGCAUAACCUCGCAAGAGCAAAGAGGGGGACCUUCGGGCCUCUCGCCAUCAGAUGUGCCCAGAUGGGAUUAGCUAGUAGGUGAGGUAAUGGCUCACCUAGGCGACGAUCCCUAGCUGGUCUGAGAGGAUGACCAGCCACACUGGAACUGAGACACGGUCCAGACUCCUACGGGAGGCAGCAGUGGGGAAUAUUGCACAAUGGGCGCAAGCCUGAUGCAGCCAUGCCGCGUGUGUGAAGAAGGCCUUCGGGUUGUAAAGCACUUUCAGCGGGGAGGAAGGCAGUAAGGUUAAUAACCUUAUUGAUUGACGUUACCCGCAGAAGAAGCACCGGCUAACUCCGUGCCAGCAGCCGCGGUAAUACGGAGGGUGCAAGCGUUAAUCGGAAUGACUGGGCGUAAAGCGCACGCAGGCGGUCUGUUAAGUUGGAUGUGAAAUCCCCGGGCUUAACCUGGGAACUGCAUUCAAAACUGACAGGCUAGAGUCUUGUAGAGGGGGGUAGAAUUCCAGGUGUAGCGGUGAAAUGCGUAGAGAUCUGGAGGAAUACCGGUGGCGAAGGCGGCCCCCUGGACAAAGACUGACGCUCAGGUGCGAAAGCGUGGGGAGCAAACAGGAUUAGAUACCCUGGUAGUCCACGCUGUAAACGAUGUCGAUUUGGAGGUUGUGCCCUUGAGGCGUGGCUUCCGGAGCUAACGCGUUAAAUCGACCGCCUGGGGAGUACGGCCGCAAGGUUAAAACUCAAAUGAAUUGACGGGGGCCCGCACAAGCGGUGGAGCAUGUGGUUUAAUUCGAUGCAACGCGAAGAACCUUACCUACUCUUGACAUCCACAGAAUUCGGCAGAGAUGCCUUAGUGCCUUCGGGAACUGUGAGACAGGUGCUGCAUGGCUGUCGUCAGCUCGUGUUGUGAAAUGUUGGGUUAAGUCCCGCAACGAGCGCAACCCUUAUCCUUUGUUGCCAACGAUUCGGUCGGGAACUCAAAGGAAACUGCCGGUGAUAAACCGGAAGAAGGUGGGGGAUGACGUCAAGUCAUCAUGGGCCCUUACGAGUAGGGCU
Molecule: ribosomal RNA, 1108 nt
Filed under: Pectobacterium brasiliense
Lineage: Bacteria; Pseudomonadati; Pseudomonadota; Gammaproteobacteria; Enterobacterales; Pectobacteriaceae
Description: bacterial SSU rRNA
Rfam family: Bacterial small subunit ribosomal RNA
Source: RNAcentral